RNAcentral lists this unclassified non-coding RNA (300 nucleotides) under uncultured fungus. Its description in RNAcentral is "sequence contains 5.8S rRNA gene". The stretch from base 1 to 53 matches the Rfam family "5.8S ribosomal RNA", at positions 102 to 154 of the family's 154-position model. The record is from RNAcentral. Lineage: Eukaryota; Fungi.
GAACGCACCUUGCACCCUUUGGUAUUCCGAAGGGUAUGCCUGUUUGAGUGUCAUUAAAUUCUCAACUUCAAAAGGGUUUGUGCUCUUUUUUGAAGCUUGGACUAUGGAAGCUUGCUGGUAUCACUAUCGGCUCUUCUUAAAUGCAUUAGCGGAACUGUAAAGGACCAGCUUUGGUUUGAUAAUCCUAUCUAUGCCGCUGCUGUGGACUUGUGCCCCGCUUCUAACCGUCUUUGGACUGCCUUCCGGGGCAUACAAUUUUAAGCUUGACCUCAAAUCAGGUAGGACUACCCGCUGAACUUA